CCUACGGGUGGCAGCAGUGGGGAAUAUUGCACAAUGGGCGAAAGCCUGAUGCAGCAACGCCGCGUGCAGGAAGAAGGGUUUCGGCUCGUAAACUUCUAUCAUCAGGGACGAAAGAAAUGACGGUACCUGAAUAAGAAGCCGCGACUAACUACGUGCCAGCAGCCGGGGUAAUACGUAGGGGGCAAGCGUUAUGCGGAAUUACUGGGUGUAAAGGGUGAGUAGGGGGCAAAGUAGGCCAGAUGUGAAAGCCUUGGGCUUAACCUGAGGAUUGCAUUUGAAACUAUCAAGCUAGAGUACAUGAGAGGUAAGCGGAAUUCCUAGUGUAGGGGUGAAAUGCGUAGAUAUUAGGAAGAACACCAGUGGCGAAGGCAGGUUACUGGACUGAUACUGACGCUGAGGCACGAAAGCGUAGGGAGCGAACAGGAUUAGAUACCCUUGUAGUC
This 443-nucleotide ribosomal RNA is filed under the name uncultured bacterium. RNAcentral's name for it is "partial 16S ribosomal RNA". It matches the Rfam family "Bacterial small subunit ribosomal RNA", at positions 338 to 795 of the family's 1533-position model. The record is from RNAcentral.